GACAUAAUGCAACUAGCACAAUCUAAUAAUCACCACCACCACCACCACUAAAGUGCUGAUAUUUGAUGCCGGUGCAAGCGUGUAGGGGGUUCGGGUAGGAAUAAAACGCCCGAGCAACUCCGAGACGUGAUGCCGUGGCCUUCGGGCCGAAGUCAUUGAUCCCACGCUUCCAAGAAAAGCUGCGUUCUACGUUGACGUACUGCUGACCGUACCGGAAACCGACUCAGGUGGGCGGGUCGAGAAGACCAAGGCGUUUGAGAGAAUCCUGGUUAAGGAACUCGGCAAAUUGACACCGUAACUUCGGGAUAAGGUGUGCCCUCUCUGGUGGAGGCCCUCGCGGCCCGAGCUCGAAGGGGUUGCAACAAAGAGGCGGUAGCGACUGUUUACCAAAAACACAGGCCUGUGCGAAGCCGUAAGGCGACGUAUACAGGUUGACGCCUGCCCGGUGCCGGAAGGUUAAGGGGACUGCUCAGCGAAAGCGAAGGUGGGAACCGAAGCCCCGGUAAACGGCGGCCGUAACGAUAACGGUCCUAAGGUAGCGAAAUUCCUUGUCGGGUAAGUUCCGACCUGCACGAAUGGCGUAACGACUUCCGCACUGUCUCGAUCAGGAUCUCAGCGAAAUUGACAUUGGGGUGAAGAUGCCCCAUACCCGCAGCAAGACGGAAAGACCCUGUGAACCUUUACUCUAACUUGGCAGCGGCAUUCGGUUCAGUUUGUGUAGGAUAGGUGGGAGGCUGUGAACCGGGAGCGCUAGCUUCUGGGGAGCCAACGUUGAAAUACCACCCUGAUUGUGCUGGAUGCCUAACCCGGCCGAAAGGCGGGGACACUGCCUGGUGGGGAGUUUGACUGGGGCGGUCGCCUCCCAAACAGUAACGGAGGCGCGCAAAGGUUCCCUCAGCCAGAUCGGAAACCUGGCGCAGAGUGCAAAGGCAGAAGGGAGCUUGACUGCAACAUCGACAGAUGGAGCAGGUGCGAAAGCAGGCCUUAGUGAUCCGGCGGUCCCACAUGGGAGGGCCGUCGCUCAUCGGAUAAAAGGUACUCCGGGGAUAACAGGCUUAUCACGCCCAAGAGUUCACAUCGACGGCGUGGUUUGGCACCUCGAUGUCGGCUCAUCGCAUCCUGGGGCUGGAGCAGGUCCCAAGGGUUUGGCUGUUCGCCAAUUAAAGCGGUACGCGAGCUGGGUUCAAAACGUCGUGAGACAGUUUGGUCCCUAUCUGCUGUGGGCGUAGGAGAAUUGAGAAGAGCUGUCCUUAGUACGAGAGGACCGGGAUGGACGCACCUCUGGUGUUCCGGUUGUCGCGCCAGCGGCACUGCCGGGUAGCUACGUGCGGACGGGAUAACCGCUGAAAGCAUCUAAGUGGGAAGCCCCCUUCAAGAUCAGUUCUCCCCGAAGGGCCCAGGAAGACUACCUGGUUGAUAGGCAGGGGGUGUAGGCGCUGCAAGGCGCGAGCCGACCUGUACUAAUUGCCCGUUUGACUUGACUCU
RNAcentral lists this ribosomal RNA (1485 nucleotides) under metagenome. RNAcentral's name for it is "bacterial LSU rRNA". It matches the Rfam family "Bacterial large subunit ribosomal RNA", at positions 1432 to 2925 of the family's 2925-position model. The record is from RNAcentral.